Molecule: ribosomal RNA, 301 nt
Filed under: uncultured bacterium
Lineage: Bacteria
Description: partial 16S ribosomal RNA
Rfam family: Bacterial small subunit ribosomal RNA
Source: RNAcentral
CAGCAGCCGCGGGAAUACGAAGGUCCCGAGCGUUGUUCGGAAUCACUGGGCGUAAAGGGAGCGUAGGCGGCGUGGUAAGUCAGAUGUGAAAUCCCGGGGCUCAACCCCGGAACUGCAUCCGAUACUGCUGUGCUAGAGGAUUGGAGAGGUAGCUGGAAUUCUUGGUGUAGCAGUGAAAUGCGUGGAGAUCAAGAGGAACACUCGUGGCGAAAGCGAGCUACUGGACAAUAUCUGACGCUGAGGCUCGAAGGCCAGGGUAGCGAAAGGGAUUAGAUACCCCCGUAGUCCCUGUCUCUUAUAC